CUAGCAUAUCAAUAAGCGGAGGAAAAGAAACUAACAAGGAUUCCCCUAGUAACUGCGAGUGAAGCGGGAAAAGCUCAAAUUUAAAAUCUGGCGGUCUUUGGCCGUCCGAGUUGUAGUCUGGAGAAGUGCUUUCCGCGCUGGACCGUGUAUAAGUCUCUUGGAACAGAGCGUCAUAGAGGGUGAGAAUCCCGUCUUUGACACGGACUACCAGUGCUUUGUGAUGCGCUCUCAAAGAGUCGAGUUGUUUGGGAAUGCAGCUCAAAAUGGGUGGUGAAUUCCAUCUAAAGCUAAAUAUUGGCGAGAGACCGAUAGCGAACAAGUACCGUGAGGGAAAGAUGAAAAGCACUUUGGAAAGAGAGUUAAACAGUACGUGAAAUUGCUGAAAGGGAAACGCUUGAAGUCAGUCGCGUCUGCCGGAACUCAGCCUUCCUUUUGGUUGGUGCACUUUCUGGUAGACGGGCCAGCAUCGAUUUUGACCGUAGGAUAAGGGCUGGAGAAAUGUGGCACCUUCGGGUGUGUUAUAGUCUUCAGUCGCAUACUACGGUUGGGAUCGAGGACCGCAGCGCGCCGCAAGGCAGGGGUUCGCCCACUUUCGCGCUUAGGAUGCUGGCAUAAUGGCUUUAAACGACCCGUCUUGAAACACGGACCAAGGAGUCUAACAAACCUGCGAGUGUUUGGGUGGAAAACCCGAGCGCGUAAUGAAAGUGAAAGUUGAGACCUCUGUCGUGGAGGGCAUCGACGCCCGGACCUGACGUUCUCUGACGGAUCCGCGGUAGAGCAUGUUUGUUGGGACCCGAAAGAUGGUGAACUAUGCCUGAAUAGGGUGAAGCCAGAGGAAACUCUGGUGGAGGCUCGUAGCGAUUCUGACGUGCAAAUCGAUCGUCAAAUUUGGGUAUAGGGGCGAAAGACUAAUCGAACCAUCUAGUAGCUGGUCUGC
RNAcentral lists this ribosomal RNA (937 nucleotides) under Lentinus squarrosulus. RNAcentral's name for it is "LSU rRNA". It matches the Rfam family "Eukaryotic large subunit ribosomal RNA", at positions 34 to 959 of the family's 3401-position model. Lineage: Eukaryota; Fungi; Basidiomycota; Agaricomycetes; Polyporales; Polyporaceae. The record is from RNAcentral.